AUGGAGAAGCACCUGCGUGCCUGCUGGGUGCUUUUGUGGCCAUGUUUUCAGUGGGUGGCUGGCAAGAGCCAAGUGGAGCAGAGUCCCGAGUCCUUGGUCAUGCUUGAGGGAGAGAGCUGUGUCCUUCAAUGCAACUACAGUGUGAGCCCCUUUAACAACUUAAAGUGGUACAAACAAGACACAGGCAGAGGUCCUGUGUCUCUGGUAAUCAUGACUUACGCAGAGCACAAAAAGUCAAAUGGAAGGUACUCAGCAAUUCUGGAUGCAGAUGCUAAGCACAGCACCCUGCAUUUCACAGCCUCCCUGCUGGAAGACACGGUCUCCUACAUCUGUGUGGUGGGCGCACCAUGCUCCCCAGAUACUUACAGCCAGCACCAAAACCUGCUCCUGGAGGCUUCUGGGAGGCAGAGGUGA
This is a non-coding RNA of Psammomys obesus (fat sand rat), 414 nucleotides long. The record is from the annotation of a RefSeq genome assembly. Lineage: Eukaryota; Metazoa; Chordata; Mammalia; Rodentia; Muridae.